GUGUCAGCAGCCGCGGUAAAACGUAGGAGGCGAGCGUUAUCCGGAUUUACUGGGCGUAAAGCGCGUGCAGGCGGUUCGAUAAGUUGGAUGUGAAAGCUCCCGGCUCAACUGGGAGAGGUCGUUCAAGACUGUCGGACUUGAGUGUGGUAGAGGGAGGUGGAAUUCCGGGUGUAGUGGUGAAAUGCGUAGAUAUCCGGAGGAACACCAGUGGCGAAAGCGGCCUCCUGGACCACAACUGACGCUCAGACGCGAAAGCUAGGGUAGCAAACGGGAUUAGAGACCCCGGUAGUCCUAGCCGUAAACGAUGUAGACUUGGCGUUGGCGGGUUUAAAUCCGUCAGUGCCGCAGCAAACGCGAUAAGUCUACCGCCUGGGGACUACGGCCGCAAGGUUAAA
Molecule: ribosomal RNA, 395 nt
Filed under: uncultured bacterium
Lineage: Bacteria
Description: bacterial SSU rRNA
Rfam family: Bacterial small subunit ribosomal RNA
Source: RNAcentral